Molecule: ribosomal RNA, 361 nt
Filed under: uncultured rumen bacterium
Lineage: Bacteria
Description: bacterial SSU rRNA
Rfam family: Bacterial small subunit ribosomal RNA
Source: RNAcentral
UUGGCUCAGGAUGAACGCUGGCGGCGUGCCUAACACAUGCAAGUCGAACGGAAAUUGCAGAAGGAAGUUUUCGGAUGGAAUUUUGUAAUUUUAGUGGCGGACGGGUGAGUAACACGUGGGUAACCUGCCCUGUACCGGGGGAUAACAGUUGGAAACGGCUGUUAAUACCGCAUAAGCGCACAGCUCCGCAUGGAGCAGUGUGAAAAACUCCGGUGGUACAGGAUGGACCCGCGUCUGAUUAGCUAGUUGGCGGGGUAACGGCCCACCAAGGCGACGAUCAGUAGCCGGCCUGAGAGGGUGAACGGCCACAUUGGGACUGAGACACGGCCCAGACUCCUACGGGAGGCAGCAGUGGGGAAUA